GACGAACGCUGGCGGCGUGCUUAACACAUGCAAGUCGAACAAUGAAGCCUAGCUUGCUAGGUGGAUUAGUGGCGAACGGGUGAGUAAUACGUGAGUGACCUACCUUUGACUCUGGGAUAAGCCUGGGAAACUGGGUCUAAUACCGGAUACGACCAAUCUCCGCAUGGGGUGUUGGUGGAAAGCGUUAUGGAGUGGUUUUAGAUGGGCUCACGGCCUAUCAGCUUGUUGGUGAGGUAAUGGCUUACCAAGGCGACGACGGGUAGCCGGCCUGAGAGGGUGACCGGCCACACUGGGACUGAGACACGGCCCAGACUCCUACGGGAGGCAGCAGUGGGGAAUAUUGCACAAUGGGCGCAAGCCUGAUGCAGCGACGCCGCGUGAGGGAUGACGGCCUUCGGGUUGUAAACCUCUGUUAGCAUCGAAGAAGCGAAAGUGACGGUAGGUGCAGAGAAGGCGCCGGCUAACUACGUG
This 471-nucleotide ribosomal RNA is filed under the name uncultured bacterium. RNAcentral's name for it is "partial 16S ribosomal RNA". It matches the Rfam family "Bacterial small subunit ribosomal RNA", at positions 28 to 507 of the family's 1533-position model. The record is from RNAcentral.